Molecule: unclassified non-coding RNA, 223 nt
Filed under: Hevea brasiliensis (rubber tree)
Lineage: Eukaryota; Viridiplantae; Streptophyta; Magnoliopsida; Malpighiales; Euphorbiaceae
Source: RNAcentral
GCCUUAAAUGUCUUCUCAAUGUCAACUCAAAAUGGUUUAUUUAUAAAUUCUUGCUUUGCUCAUUGCCAAUCUGAGAGACAGGAUACAUGGUUUGCUGCUGAUUCUCCCCUCCUCCAGAACAAGAGGAUUGCUCAAUCUGUUGGAGACUGGUAUUUUGAUCGAGUUGAUGUUAAAGCUAUUGACUGUGCAUACCCCUGUGACAACACUUGCCAUAAUCUAGUUU